CAAUAGCGUAUAUUAAAGUUGUUGCAGUUAAAAAGCUCGUAGUUGGAUUUCUGGUUGAAGCGACCGGUCGGGCGUUGAUUCGUCUGCACUGGAGUCGGUUUUGGCCAUCCUCUAGGAAAGUGCGUCUGGUAUUAAGUUAUCGGGCGUAUGAUCCUGGUCUUUUACUGUGAAAAAAUUAGAGUGUUUAAAGCAGGCCUUCGCCUUGAAUACAUUAGCAUGGAAUAAUAAGAUAGGACUUUGGUCUAUUUUGUUGGUUUGCAGACCGAAGUAAUGAUUAAUAGGGAUAGUUGGGGGUAUUUAUAUUCUGAUGUCAGAGGUGAAAUUCUUAGAUUUUCGGAAGAUAAACUUAUGCGAAAGCAUUUACCAAGGAUGUUUUCAUUAA
RNAcentral lists this ribosomal RNA (382 nucleotides) under uncultured eukaryote. Its description in RNAcentral is "partial 18S ribosomal RNA". It matches the Rfam family "Eukaryotic small subunit ribosomal RNA", at positions 592 to 976 of the family's 1831-position model. The record is from RNAcentral.